RNAcentral lists this small nuclear RNA (164 nucleotides) under Orussus abietinus. Its description in RNAcentral is "U1 spliceosomal RNA". It matches the Rfam family "U1 spliceosomal RNA". From Rfam's summary of the family: U1 is a small nuclear RNA (snRNA) component of the spliceosome (involved in pre-mRNA splicing). Its 5' end forms complementary base pairs with the 5' splice junction, thus defining the 5' donor site of an intron. The record is from RNAcentral. Lineage: Eukaryota; Metazoa; Arthropoda; Insecta; Hymenoptera; Orussidae.
UAACUUACUUGGCGCGGAGGACACCGUGAUCACGAAGGCGGUUCCUCCUGGGCGAGGUCCUUCCAUUGCACCCGGGUCGGGCUGAACCUUGCGAGUACUCCUAACGUGGGUAUGUCGAGCGCACAAUUUUUGGCAGUCGGGACAAGCGUUCGCGCUGUCCCGGA